This 540-nucleotide ribosomal RNA is filed under the name uncultured Geobacteraceae bacterium. RNAcentral's name for it is "bacterial SSU rRNA". It matches the Rfam family "Bacterial small subunit ribosomal RNA", at positions 8 to 526 of the family's 1533-position model. Lineage: Bacteria; Pseudomonadati; Thermodesulfobacteriota; Desulfuromonadia; Geobacterales; Geobacteraceae. The record is from RNAcentral.
AGAGUUUGAUCCUGGCUCAGAACGAACGCUGGYGGCGUGCUUAACACAUGCAAGUCGAACGUGAUCCAGAGCUUGCUCUGGUGAAAGUGGCGCACGGGUGAGUAACGCGUGGAUAACCUGCCCUGGUAUCUGGGAUAACAUCUCGAAAGGGGUGCUAAUACCGGAUAAGCCUACGGACUCCUCGGAGUCUGCAGGAAAAGGAGGCCUCUAUUUAUAAGCUUCCGUAUCAUGAUGGGUCCGCGUACCAUUAGCUAGUUGGUGGGGUAAUGGCCUACCAAGGCGACGAUGGUUAGCUGGUCUGAGAGGAUGAUCAGCCACACUGGAAAUGAGACACGGUCCAGACUCCUACGGGAGGCAGCAGUGGGGAAUUUUGCGCAAUGGGGGAAACCCUGACGCAGCAACGCCGCGUGAGUGAUGAAGGCUUUCGGGUCGUAAAGCUCUGUCAGAGGGGAAGAAAUGAAACGUGCUAAUAUCACGUUUUCUUGACGGUACCCUCAAAGGAAGCGCCGGCUAACUCCGUGCCAGCAGCCGCGGUAAUAC